GGAGAGAUGGCUGAGUGGACGAAAGCGCACGACUCGAAAUCGUGUGGGCCGAAAGGCCCCGGGGGUUCGAAUCCCUCUCUCUCCG
Molecule: transfer RNA, 85 nt
Filed under: bacterium
Lineage: Bacteria
Also listed under: 4 other names
Description: tRNA-Ser
Rfam family: tRNA
About the family: Transfer RNA (tRNA) molecules are approximately 80 nucleotides in length. Their secondary structure includes four short double-helical elements and three loops (D, anti-codon, and T loops).
Source: RNAcentral